AGUUGGAAAAGUUUGAUCCUGACUCAGAUUGAACGCUGGCGGCAGGCCUAACACAUGCAAGUCGAGCGGAUGACGGGAGCUUGCUCCUGGAUUCAGCGGCGGACGGGUGAGUAAUGUCUAGGAAUCUGCCUGGUAGUGGGGGACAACGUUUCGAAAGGGUCGCUAAUACCGCAUACGUUCGCCAGGACAAAGCAGGGGACCUUCGGGCCUUGCGCUAUCAGAUGAGCCUAGAUCGGAUUAGCUUGUUGGUGAGGUAAUGGCUCACCAAGGCGACGAUCCCUAGCUGGUCUGAGAGGAUGAUCAGUCACACUGGAACUGAGACACGGUCCAGACUCCUACGGGAGGCAGCAGUGGGGAAUAUUGGACAAUGGGCGAAAGCCUGAUCCAGCCAUGCCGCGUGUGUGAAGAAGGUCUUCGGGAUUGUAAAGCACUUUAAGUUGGAGGAAGGAUUGUAAAUUAAUACUUCUUGCAUAUUUUGACGUUACCCGACAGAAAUACCACGGGCUAUCAG
RNAcentral lists this ribosomal RNA (511 nucleotides) under Pseudomonas fulva. Its description in RNAcentral is "bacterial SSU rRNA". It matches the Rfam family "Bacterial small subunit ribosomal RNA", at positions 1 to 503 of the family's 1533-position model. Lineage: Bacteria; Pseudomonadati; Pseudomonadota; Gammaproteobacteria; Pseudomonadales; Pseudomonadaceae. The record is from RNAcentral.